UACGGAGGGUGCAAGCGUUAUCCGGAUUCACUGGGUUUAAAGGGCGCGUAGGUGGCCCGGUCAGUUCGUGGUGAAAGCGCGGGGCUCAACCCUGCGUCGGCCAUGAAUACUGCCGCGGCUGGAGCACUGUAGAGGCAGGCGGAAUUCCGGGUGUAGCGGUGGAAUGCGUAGAGAUCCGGAAGAACACCGGUGGCGAAGGCGGCCUGCUGGGCAGUUGCUGACGCUGAGGCGCGACAGCGUGGGGAGCAAACAGG
RNAcentral lists this ribosomal RNA (254 nucleotides) under uncultured bacterium. Its description in RNAcentral is "partial 16S ribosomal RNA". It matches the Rfam family "Bacterial small subunit ribosomal RNA", at positions 524 to 776 of the family's 1533-position model. The record is from RNAcentral.